GGUUUUUCGUGGGUCUGUCCUGGUUUGCACUGAAGGUGCCCUGACCCAGGAAACUUCUCUGUCUGGAGCAAAACAGGACAGUUGGGCACCCUGUGGUGCCCAGGGAGGUGGAGACGUGAUCCCGGGCUCAGGCUUCUCUCAAGUUAGAAUCUCCUUUUGUGUCUGCUGUCUGCCUGAGAAAAUGCUCUUGCGGGAGACCAGUGAAGGGAAGGGACCCCCUCUGAGAGCUGAGAAGGCCCUGUUCAUCCCAGGGGUAAGUCAGGCUGCAGAGGGUGAGAACUGAGGCUUGAGGAGCCCCAGGGCCACCGUGGGACACACUGUUGCUGCGGCUCCCUCUGCCGUAGGUUCUGUGUUAGCUCCUUCUACCUUGCCCCCAGCCUUUUUUUUUUUUUUUUUUUUUAAUUUGUGGUUCUGGGAUCACACCAGGGCCUCCCACGUGCUCUGCAAAUGCUGUAGCCCUGAGCCACCAGCAGUAGCGCCACCAGCCCAGCUGCCAGUUAUCCGGUGCUUGCUGGGGUCAGCGCUCUGCGAACAUUGUGACAUAUUUUGCACAGCAGCUGGUGAUUCACAUUUUAAAACUGAAGCUCUGAGAGGUUAAGUGACUUGCCUGGAGCUCAUAGCUCCGAUCAGCACUGGAGCUGGGUUCGAAUCGAAGCCAGCUUCGCGUGAAGUCGAGGCCUUCAUCCACUCUCCAGUCUCUGAGUCGUCCUGGAAAACAGUCUGGGUCUCUGUCUCAGGGUGGGGGCAGCUUCCUUGCUUGCCCUAGGACAUGGCGCUUCAGUGACUGAUGCUCUUUCUCUACCCAUAGAGUCCUAUGACUCAUGAUCUGUGAGGGUGAAACCCGUGAGUCAGAUCCCGUUACCAUAACAAAACACUUGAGAUAAUCAAUUUACAAAGAGGACAGCUUUAUAUUGGCUCAUAGUUUGGGAGGUUUCAGGUACAAGUCAGUUGACCUGUUGAUUUGGAAUUGAGGUGAGAUAGUCUGUCGUGGUACCAGCUCGGGGCCAAGAAAGACCUCACUUCUGACCAGAAGUGAGAAAGAAGAGCAAGAAUGUGGGGUCCUCACAUCCCCUUCCAGGACACAUUCCCAGGACUGAAAGGUCUUCCACUAAGCCCCACCUUUUAAAGGUGCCAUCCUCAAUAGCACCGAGCUGGGGACUAAGCCUUUAACAUACAGGUCACUGGGGGACAUUGAUACAAACCAAUGUCUCAGUGACCAAACACAAUUUUGAUGUACUUGUUUAAGAAGUACAAAAAGAUGGAGAUUUGGGCCUGCUUUUUCUUCUGAUAGAUGCAGGGUCUCUGGUUUAAUUCCUAGGUCCUUGAUCCACUUUGAGUUGAGUUUUGUGCAUGGUGAGAGAGGGGUUUAGUUUCAUUUUGUUGCGUAUGGGUUUCCAGUUUUCCCAGCACCAUUUGUUGAAAAGGCUGUCUUUUCUCCAAUGUACGUUUUUGGUACCUUUGUCUAAUAUAAGAUAUCUGUAAUUAUGUGGGUUAGUCUCUGGGUCCUCUAUUCUGUACCAUUGGUCUACAGUCUAUUUUGUUGCCAAUACCAUGCUUUUGUCACUAUUGCUCUGUUGUAUAGUUUAAGGUCUGGUAUUGUGAUGCCACCUACUUCACUCUUCUUGCUAAGGAUUGCUUUUGUCAUUCGGUGUCUCUUAUUUUUCCAGAUGAAUUUCAUGAUUGCUUUGUCUAUUUCUAUGAGGAAUGUCAUUGGGAUAUGAUUGGAAUUGCGUUAAAUCUGUUUAGUGCUUUUGGAAUUAUGGUCUAUAUGUACAAUAUGAAUUGUAAUGCAUUUUGCUGUCAUAUAUGACAAAUUAAAAUUUGAAAAAAUGAAAAAAAUAAAGAAAUAAAAAAAAGGCAGGAGAUGUGGCUCAGUGGUUAAGCACCUGUGGGUUCAAAACAUAAAGUAAAAUAAAAUAUUUUUUUAAAAAGUACAAAAAGAGGGCUGGGGUGUGGCUCAGCAGGAGAGUACUCACUUAGCACCUGUGAGGCACUGGGUUCAAUCCUCAACACCACAUAAAAUAAAUAAAUAAAUAAUAAAGGUAUUGUGUCCAACUACAACUAAAUAUAUGUGUGUGUGUGUAUUCUUUUUAAAAAGUACAAAAAGAAUAGACCUGAGCAGCUGGGCAUAGUUGUGCACACCUCUAAUCCUAGUGACUCUAGAGCCUGAGGCAAGAGGAUCAUAAGUUCAGGAGGAUCAUAAGUUCGAGGACAGCCUUGGUGUUAUGGUUCGGAUGUGAGGUGUCCCCCAAAAGCUCAUGUGUGAGACAAUUCAAGAAGGUUUAGAGGAGAAAUGAUUGGGUUGUGAGAGCCUUAACCCAAUCAGUGAGUUAAUCAGUCCCCUGGUGGGAUUAGCCUGGUGGUGACUGAAGGCAGGUGGGUGUGGCUGGAGGAGGUAGGGCACUGGGGGUGCACCUUGGGGGGAUAUAUUUUGUAUCUGGCAAAGGGAGACUUCUCUUUCUGCUUCCUGAUUAUCAUGUCAGCCACUCCCCUCUGCCAUGCUCUUGCACCCAUGGUGGUCAGCCUCACCUGAAGUCCCACGGAAUGGAGCCAGGCUGCCUAUGGACUGAAACCUCUGAAACCGUGAGCCCCCAAUAAACUUUUUCUCCCCUAAAAUUGUUCUUGUCAGGUCUUUUGAGUCACAGCAGCAAAAAAAGUUGACUAAAACACUUGGCAACUUAGUGAAACUCUGUCUCCCCCAAAAGAGGGGACUUGCUUGAGAUGCAGCUAAGGGUAGAGAACAUCCCUGGGUUCAACCCCCAGUACUUCAAAAAUAAAUAAACAAACAAACAUGAAUAAAUACUAUUCUUUGUUAAAAGGUCAGCACCAAAACAAGUUAUUUCAAAAAAUAUUGUUGCUUGAUAUAAUUAAAGGAUCACGAGUAAGUUGGUCUAGCUUUUCAUACAGUAAAAACACGGAAGUGAUUACAUUACUGAUUUGAAGAGUGAAUUCAGUCACUUAAAAUUCAAAUUGAACCAACAGUUCAGCAACAUAUUAAUAAUUUAUCUAUCCAACUUCAUCAGUGUUGUGAAAUGAGGGGAUGAGAAAGACUUUAAGUUUGCAUGGGGCCUUACAAAUCUAAGUUCUAAGUACUUGUUUGACAUUUUGAUCUUUAUCUAAGGUCAGUGGACUAAAGAAAAAUCUGGACUCAAAGACUAUGAUAAUGAUUUUUUCUCAGCAUCCAAACUUGUGAAAUGGUGAGCCUUUCCCUGGGAAUGGGAAUGGAGGAGAACAGUGUCCUUGAUGAACAGCAGUCCCUUGCCUGUCUCUAGCAGUGGGCUUCUGGGCCAGCCCUUGGUACUAACUGAGGGUUACUAGGAUGAACAGCCUUGCUAACAAAUCACAGCCAACUGUGGUCAUCUUAUAUUAGGAGACCUUUCCUUAAGUCACUUGGGGACAGUUUGGCUUAAAGACUGCUUCAAUCUUCCAAGUGAUUUUGCAAAGAAUGUUAUUAAUUUGCAGAAGUGACUAAUGACAGAAGUAUCACCUUUUAAAAGUAGAUCACAGAAAAUGAAUAGAAAUUCUUUUUUUAAAAAACUGUAUUUAUUUUAAUUAGGUAUUCAUGACAGCAGAAUGCAUUUUGAUUCAUUGUACACAAUUGCAGCACAACUUUUCAUUUCUCUGUACACGAUGUAGCAUCAUCCUGUAUGCAAAGGUGGGUGGGGAGGGGAGCUGGUACGGGGGCAAGAAAGAAUGGAAAUUCUUUUUCUUUUUCUUUUAUUUGUUUAGUUGUAGUUGACACAAUACCUUUAUUUUAUUUAUUUAUUUUUAUGUGGCAUUGAGGAUUGAACCCAGGGCCUCGAAUGUUCUAGGCGAGCACUCUACCACUGAGUCACAACCCCAGCCCAGAAUGGAAAUUCUUAAUCCAUUCUUUUUUUUUCUUUCUUUCUUUUUUAGUUUUCGGCGGUCACAACAUCUUUGUUUGUAUGUGGUGCUGAGGAUCGAACCCAGGCCGCACGCAUGCCAGGCGAGCGCACUACCGCUUUGAGCCACAUCCCAGCCCUAGAGACAGCGUCUUGCUGAGUUGCUUAGGACUGAGGCUGGCCUUGAACUUGUGAUCCUCUUUCCUCAGCCUCCCAAGCUGCUGGGAUUAUAGGCAUGUGCCACUGCCCCUGGAUUCUUAAUCAAUUCUUUGAACUACAUGUUUAGUAUUUGUAAAUGUCGUAUGUCAUAAAUUCUUUAUUGGUUUUAUUUUUAAUAUGAGGCAUUGGUUUUAUAUUUACUAUGGGAAAUUUAACGUAAUGUACCUAAAUUACUAUUUCUUUCAACAAUUAUUUAUUUAGAAGCUUUGAUGUACCAGGACUGUGUCAGCCUAAAGAAGAUAUAAAAAUGAGUGGGACAGGCUGAAUAGUUUUGCUAAGGAGUUUGUAGUCAAUGGGAUGAGAGUGGGUGAGGUACACAAUGACAAGCAAUUGUGAAUAAAAGUGAUGCAUUAGUGUUCUCCAGAGAAACAAACCAAUAGGAGGUGUGUGUUGGCGGGGGUGGGGGGUGGGGGAUUGGGUUUAAGGAAUUGGCUCAUGUGGUUUAUGGUGGCUGACACGUCCAAAAUUUGCAGGUAGGCCAGCAGGCUGAAGAUCCACAGAAGGACCAAUGUUAUAGUUAAAGUCUAAAGAACACUAGGCCAGAGAAUUUCUUUUUAGGAAAAUUCAGUCUUUUUUUUCUGUUAAGAUCAGACUGGACUGGGCAUGGUGACACACUCCUAUAACCACAGCAGUUUGGGAGGCUGGGGCAGGAGGAUUCAAAGUUCAAAGCCAGGCUCAGCAAUUUAAUGUGCCCUAAGCACAUUAGCAAGACCCGGUCUCAAAAUAAAAAGUACAAAGGGCUGGGAUGUAGCUCAGUGGUUUAGCACUCCUGGGUUCAAUCCCUGAUUUAAAAAAAAAAAAAAACACUUUCCAGAAUAAAUUUUUGGUUUUUGGCACCAGGGAUCGAACUCAGGAGUGCUUAAACACUGUGCCAAGCCACAUCCCCAGCCCUUUUUAUUUUUUGUUUUGUGACAGAGUCUUGCUAAGUUGCUUAGGGGCGGGCUAAGUUGCUGGGGCUGGCCUUGAAUUUAUGAUCCUCCUGCCUCAGCCUCUGGAGCCUUUGGGAUCAUAGAUGUGCACCACUACGCCCAUCCCGAAUGAUGUUUGAUCAAAUAUCUGGAGGCCAUAGCCCAUCCAGGUGGUUAUAUAAAAUUAACCAUCACAAGUUGAAAACUUAUCAACUAAGCUCAAAGGAAAGCCCCUAACCCAGACCUUCAUGGGGGGACGGUGGUCAGGGAGAGGAACGGUAAUAAUUUAAUAGGCAUUAGGUACACACAUGUGGGCGUGGGCGUGCAGGUACCGCAGGGCGUGGGAGGGCAGCACUGGGGGAAGGAAGACAGUUGCUUUUCACAUACAGGGGGGUGAAGAAUUUCCAACAGAGGAAGCAUCCUGUGUAAGACCCCCAGAAAGCCAAAGCGACUUAGUGAGAGAGAAGAGGGAGAAAGGGAUAAAAAGCAAAAUAUCAAAGUAAUCAGAAACCAGACUCCAAAAAGUCUGCUACUGAGUCUGUAUUUAAUGCCGAGGGUGAGAGGAGCCUUUGGGUAGACUGAAAGUGGGCUUCAUGUAGGCUGGGUAGAAUUUGUGAGUUCUGUUGCUAUCACACAGGAAAUGCAGCUUGGGUUGUACUGUUCCUUGGUGGGCUUUUUCCCAGCAGGUAUUAACCAAGCCUGGCCUGGGGCAUUGGCGCUGGGUGAGCGGCAGGAGACACCGGGCUCCUGGGUGGGGUGCUUAUUCCUGUGCAGUGAGGAGAAUGUUUGCUGACACCAGCACCGCUCUGGUCACAGGCUCUGCUGGUAGUGAGAGGACUGGUAAGGUGGAUUGCUGCCAUCAAGGUGGACAGGAGAAAGCAGGGCCGUCUUCCUCAUGUCCUUUUUUACAUCUGCAGAAACCUCCUCUCUACCAUUUUAAGAAACUGAAGAGUUAUUCUUGCGACGUCAGGUUUCUGAAGCACCUCCGUAGGUCUCAGACACUAGCACAGUAGCACAGAGCCUGGCUGGCACCUUUAGAACCUGAACCAUGCAACCUGAGAAUCAGUGUUCCUGUCUCAGGGGUGGGACACUGCUGUGCUGCCCAGGUAGAUGUCCCUCUGUGAAGGAGUGGCUGAUGUUACUAGGAAUGGCCCUCAGCUGGGGCACCUCUGGAGACAGCCUCAGCCAAAGACAGCUGCCCAAGGUCACGGCUGCCCCCAGAGGCAUGCUCUGAACAGAGACUGAUCUGUGUGGGAGUGAGGCUGCCGGGCUCUCACCCCUCUGAGGAGCAUUCUGAAGGGUUUCAGAGCUCCACGUGGGGUGGGCCGAGACCUUCCUGGGACAGCAUCCCAUACCCGCUUCUGUGUCACACUGCUUCCCUCUCUCCCCUUGGACCUCAGAGCACUGUGAAGUUCCCUCUGUCCCACGGGGAACUCAGCCUGCAGUGCUGUCCUCUACCCAGGUGACUCCAGACAGCAAUCUGGAAAACCCUGGCUCCGCGCUCCCUGAGCAGCCUCCGGAUCCCGUAGCUUCUCAAGUCCUUGUUUCCAUUCCAGUUGCCACCGUUUUACUCCAGGUCACCAAGGUCUGUCAUCCAAGUUAACUGUUUGGGUGGCUGCUUGAUUGUCUUCCUGUCUUUACCUUUAUCUCUAUCAAAGUGACUUUCUUCUUAUAAUUUUAUCAUGUUUAAUGGACUUAUUGAGGUAUAUUUGAUGUUCCAUAGCCUGCAUAGGUUUAAAGUGUACAACUUGUUGAUAGAUUUUGAGUUGAUAGAUUUUGAAUUGAUAGACAGAGUUGAUAGAUUUUGACACAUGUGUACAACUGUGAAACUAACACAAUCAAAAUGAUAAUAUCCAUCAGUAAGUGUAUUAUUUUUAAAUUAUAGAAGCUGUGCUCUCUCUCUCUCUCUCUCUCUCACACACACACACACACACACACACAAAACACACAUACACACAAACACGAAGUAAAAACGGAAAUUCUCUCUACCCUCCCUUAGGAUAAUCUUAAAAUUCAAACCCAGAAAGGUUCUUUCUUGCCUUAAAUGUAUUUCAGUUACCUCUAAAUAACGACAGGGAUUUUUGCUCAAAGGCCUGGAGUGUCUGCCAGCCUGGGUGUGGGUGAACCCUAAAACCAAAUCAUGUGAGGCCUUGUCUGCGGCCUCUGAGCCUUUGCUGUGCUCUUGGCUUUGCCUCUCUUGCUCUUUUCCACCUUGAAUUUUCUUCAGGACUGAUAUUUGAUUGGCCUAUUUUCAUUUAAUACUUCUUUAAUAUUAAUAUUUUAAUAAUUGAUAGCUAAUGUUUAUCGACUGCUUGCUUUUUCUUUGUUCUGUGCUUUCUAUACGCCAUAUCUCUUAACCCCCAUAAAAUCUCUAAUUGGUAUGGCGAUCCUUAUGUUGAAGGAUGCUGGCUUUACAAUACAACUACCCCCUGAAUCCUUAGACUUAGCUGACUGUUUUCUUUCACCAAAACUUUGGUCAAGUUCUGCGUCCACUGCUUGAAUAGACUUGACCUUGGGCUUCCCUCUCUGCCUUGUAAAAUCAAUUUGAGCAAGAAUCCCUCUCAGUUUAGCAAAGCCCCUCCCUCUUGGAUAUAUGACCACCAUAUCUUGUCCCCUUGGCCUGCCUUCGGCAGCUCAGGGGUCCUAUCAAGGUGGUUCAGCAGAAAUCCCCCUUUCCUUGAUGUUUCCUCUCGGUCAGUUUCCAUCUGCUGCCCACCCGCCCUUGAUCCUUGGUUAGGAGUCUGCACUCUUCCCUGUUGGCAUCUGAAUGGAGUCUAGUCUCUCUCCCCCAUGCUGUUUGACAUUGCAAGGGUCCCGUACCUACCCCAUGGCCUGCCUCACCAUCUUUAACAAGUAUUCAGGGAAUUUCCUCCUUGACAGGCCCAAGUGAGUUGCUGGUGACCGGCUUCCAUCUGAAACGUCCUGCGGCUCUCCUCCAGCGUGCUCGUUGCUCUCACUAUUGGGUUUCUGACUUCCCAGUGAAAGCCGAAGCUGUGUGUGCUCUCUGUCUGUGCGAGCACCUGGGGCAUGGCCAGUGUGUGUCACAUACUCCCUGAGUGGAUGCUGAAUGGAGGGACAGUAACCUCCACUGCACCUGCAGAGUAGGUUAGUGGCAAUAGUUGGGAUUCCCAAGUCAGAAAGAAAGCUCGAAUCCAAAUUCUGCCACCUUUAGUUGGCUCUCACUUCUGAGCCUCCUUUUCUUCAUUUCCUCCUUACAGAAUUGCUUUGAAGAGUGAUGAAGUGAUUUGGACCAAAUUCCUAGCACAGGAUAGGGUACAUCUUUUUGUUUUUCCGUCAUUGAAUGUAAAGUAUAUCAAACCUUGUUAUCAUUUUUAAUCCUUUACUCUGCCUAUAACAAAGUAUGUAGUAGUCAAAUAAGUAGUGACUAUUGUUUUAAUUAGAACAUUUUUUAUUAACAAGUAUUAAUUGCACAUCUGAAGGUUGCUCAGUGUGAUAUUUCAACAUGUGGAUACAGCACGUACUGGUCAAUUAGUGGAAUGCUCAUCUCCCUCUCUUGGUUGUUUAUUUGCAGCCUCUGAGCUCUUUUCUUCUAGGUCAUUCAUAAAAUACCUAAUCAGUUAUUGUGAGCUACAAUCAUCUUGUCACCGCGUGGGGGUCCAAGCAGCUCUCCAACCGCGGAGGAGGCCUCUACUGUGACCUUCCAGGUUCUUGUCCAUGUUACAGAAAGGAAUCUAAGAUGCAUUAGGCACGAGGGGCAAAGCAGGAGAUUUCUUAAUAAAGGAACAGCACACACUUGAGAAUGGAGUGCAGGUGAUCUUGAGAGGAAGUGGGUCGCCUCACCUUGGUCUGGGGCUGGACGCCCAUACAGGGAGCAGCAGCAGGGGGCUGCGCUGGAGUGAGGCGGGCAGCGUUAUGCAAUUCCGCGCCGUUUUCCUUGCACCUGCCCAUGCCCUGUCUGUGUGGAUCGGGCUGCUUCCUAGGUUGCGUGCCCAUCGACGCCUUCAGUCUCCACCCAGGGCUGAGUCUUACUGUUGUAAUGAGGCUAGGGCAUUUCCCUGUCACCAAAGUCGUCACCAGACCCUGUGGCAGUGUAUUCUCCAGAUGCCUUGUGGUCAUCUUAUGGCUCUCUUGUUUCUUCAGCCAAUUGACAAGCUGUAGGCAAGAUGCAAGGACAUGGCUGGUUGCUCACCUUUGUUCUGCAUUCUCAUGGCUUGUGGGCACUUCUCUCUUGAGACUCCUUGCCCUCCUUGUACCCCUGAGUUCCUACCUCAAUCUGUUUGCCUUCAGAACCCCACUACUUGUUCCUUCUAACUGUGUCUUGGUACCCAUCAUCUGACCUCCUUUCAUGCCCCAGAACCCUUCCCAGCUUCUGGUGGCCACUAGUCUCUGUUCCACUCAACUUUCUUUUGCUUCCACAUGAGAGAGAACAUGCAGUAUUUACCUUUCUGUUUCUGGCUCGGUUUAUUUAACACAGUGUCUUCUAGGUCCAUCCUUUUUGCUGCAAAGGACAGGAUUUCAUUCUUUUUUAAAAUAUAUUUUUAAUUUUUUUGCAGGAUUUCUUUCUUAUGGAUGAACGACAUUACAUUGUGUCGGGGGCGCCUAGGUCAAUUGCACAUCUUGGCCAACGUGAACAGUGCCUCGGCAACCACGGAAGUGCAGGAGUCUGAUGUGCUGCUUUCGUUUGCUUUGGUCAUACACCUAGAAGUAGGACAGCUGAAUCAUCUGGUAGGUCUAUUUUUACUUUAGUUACUACUGUUAAAAGAUAAACAGGCACAUUAAAAUUUUAACAAGUUUAUUUGAGCAUUCAGUGAUUCGUGAGUCAGGCGGCACCAGACUGCAGUCGGCCCCGCGCUCCACAGAGGUGCACCAGGGGAAAACUUCCAUAAGCCAUUCGAGCAAGCAAAACCAAGAAAAUGUUCCAUUAACGUGGAAGAGGUUGCUUGGCAAAGUCUCUAGCUAGAGUCAGUGUCUUCCAAUCAACUGAGCUUAAGUUUCAUUUUCUGAGCUUAAUUUCAUUUUCCUAUUUAUGUUGAAUUGGGCUUCAGCUUGCUUAUGCAGGAACUCAAGGUGCUGGAGCUUUCUCAGCUAAUGGCCUUCUGAUUAAUUAUUUUAACAGUGUAUUAGUGCCAGGAAACAUUUCUGUGGGGCUAGGGCUAUGAUUUCAGUCUCUUUACAAGUCAAGGGAUAAACAAGGCGAAGUUCUUUUAAUCACCAUUUCUCGGCAGAGUGGGGUCAUUCCUGGCUGCUCAGGGGUGGAGUGGAGCCAGGAUCCACCCUGCCUAGAUGACAUGAGGUUCGUGCUGCUUAGAAGCUACAUAGAUCCACAGACCUGGGGCAGGGUCUGGGUUGAUUGAGUUGUAGUUUCCAGUUUUGCCUCAUUUGUUAUAUGAAUGAUCAAACAUACAUGUAGAAUCUCUCUACCUAGAGAGCUGUUCCUAGUCUGCCCGGCAGGGAUCCUCUACCUUGCUGAAAGAAAUGGCAUCUGAGGAACUGUUAAGAUGAUGGGUUCUGCCUCUCUCCACUAUGGAGGGAUGUGCCUUUAUUUGUCAGCUCUGAUAAAUAAACUGUCUUGUGUGUCUCUGGGAAAAAAGAAAAAAUGGGUUCAUUGACCCCACCCUCCAGAAUUUCUGAUAAGGGUGUGGGGUGGUCCUUAGAUCUUGUCUUUUCAAACCAUUGUUCAUGAGAUUCCGAUGUGCAAACAUUCCAAAGGUACUGUCCCUGUUCACAAAGGUGACAUAGGGAAAGCUGAGUCAAUCUCUUAUUUGUUUGAUUUUUGCCUGUGGAUAAUAUGAAUUUAUUUGCCCAUGUCAUCUGCUUGCAAAAUGCAGCGUAAGGCUCUGUGGAGAGGGCCGAGUGAUGCUUUAUGCAUGCUGAUGCUUUGGGAAUGAAGUUGGGCUGGUAGAAAAAUUAGCGUGCUGAUGGAAUGUGCUUGUUUACAAGCUGGUGUGUGAUCAGACACAGACAGGAUAGCAUAAACUACUUGGGCCUGCGGAAUUCCAGGCCAGGAAAGGGUGAAAUAUAAUUGCUUGGCAGAAGCUGGGUGUGGUGGUGCACGCCUGUAAUCCCAGUGGCUCCUGAGCCUGAGGCAGAAGGAUUGUGAGUUCAAAGUCAGCCUCAGCAAAAGCGAGGUUCUAAGCAACUCAGUGAGACCCUGUCUUUAAAUAAAAUACAAAUAGGGCUGGGUAUGUGGCUCAGUGGUUAAGUGCCCUUGAUCUCAAUCCCUGGUACUCAAAAAAAUAAAAAAAAUUGCCUGGUAGAUAAUUUAUCAAGCAUACUGUUCAUCCAGAACUAUCAUUCCUUUACUGAUGUGCAAAGAGAAAGUGUUGAUAGGUACCUCACCUAUCCUGUGGGCAGUCCUCUGGCUUCCAUGGAAACUGGGAAUGGUGGUGGAAUAGGAACAGUGGGUGUCCCCUCUCACACAAUUUGGAGAUGUGUGAUAAUAAGUAUUCAUUGCAUUUUGUGUAAUUAGGAAUUUAAUGGUUGCUAUGUUGGAAAAUGUUGGUUCAAACAUUAAAUCCAAUCAGCAAAUAUUAUUGAGUAUCUGUUGUAUAUAGAAGAGUCUUUCUAAACAUUCAGUGGAAAUAAAAACAUUGGUACUUUACUUUGAUUCAAAGCACAUUCUAAAACUAAAUGUUUUACAAGCUAAAGUUUUCUCAAAUUUCUGUUGUUAGUGUCUGCUUUUAGUACGGAGGGUACUGUGACCUGUUGCUCAACUGUCAAUUAUGCUUUGCAACUUUUGCAUUUAUAGGUGUGAGGUUUGUUUUUUGAGGGUGCUCUGUACUGUGGCAGAUGACUGAGUCAUAGGAUAGGCUGUUAACACAGGACUUUAUGGGUGAUUAAGCAUCUCAUGGAAAGGCAUGGAUUCAGGUUCUGAUGCCCCCGCCCCCUUAGUUUUAAAUUUAUCCUGUCAAUUUUUUUUUCAUGACUGAUAUGAAACAUUUUUCUCUGAAAAAAAUUAUUAAACCGAUGCUGAGUUAAAAUAUCAGGAAGAAACAGAUAACUAAAAAUAACAGGAUAUGAUCAACAGUUUUGAUUCAUAGCCUAUUUUUAUCCUUUUCUGGAAUUCGAGCACCCAGAUUUGUAUUUGCAGAGAAAUACCAAUAAAAAUGAGAUUGCAUUUUUCAGUUUUGAAAUUCUUUUCUUUUUAAUUGUUAGCCUUUUUGAAAGAUGGUCACUUGAGAACUUGAUCCAUUAGUGUCUAUUCUCAUGAAGUCAUUUCUCCUGGCUAGUCAUUGCGGUACUUAAAGGCUUGUGGUUAAUCUUACGGGCAUCAAUGUUACUGUUGUUAAUGUUUAAAAAGGCUCCAUCUCUUACAGCUACUUGUGGAAAUAUUUAUAGGCAAAAUGAUACAAUGUCUUGAUUUCACUUUUAAGAUAUUCUAUCAAAUCAAACCAAAGCAAAAGGAAAAAAAUGAGGGGAAACACAGUAAUAAGAUGGCAGAAUGUUGGUAAUUAUUUAGAGUUGGCCGUGGGUACAUGGGAUUCAUUGAAUUCUCUCAUUUCAUGAAUUUUUAAAAAUUUUCACAGCAAAAUGUUUUUAAAAGGUUUUUCUCCAUGACACACUCUAUACCAUAUUUUUGCUUCACCCACUUUUAGAAAUCUUUCUUUGGAUGAACCUUCUGUCUUGGUUGGCUCUGCCUGCUAAAAUACAAUACUGAAGUGGGGCUGAAACCACAGACAGUUGUUUCUCACAGUUCUGGAGGCCAGAAGCACAAGAUCAGGGUGCCGGCCAAUUCAGUUCCUGGCGAGAGCUUCUUCCCCAGCUUGGAGAGAGACAGAGACAGAGAGACGCAUCACAUCUCUUCUUAUAAGGCACUAAUUGAAUCAGGGAGGCCCCCAUGACCUCAUGUAAACCUAACCACCUCCUGGCAGUCCACUUCCCAAUACCAUCACAUGUGAAUGGUGGUGGGAGCAAAUACUUGGUGCACAAUGCCUGUUGCAGAUGCACAUCUAGAAUGUACCUAGUGAAAAUACCCCCUUGUUCUUUGUUCAAACAUAAAUUUAGCACACUUUGUUGAAUGUGUGCUUAGCAUGUGGUGAGGUUGCUGCUGCUACAAAGGGAGCCCAAGAUCUGCUUCCUAUGAGCAAGUCACUUUCCUAAGAUUUUUUUAUUAUUAUUAUUAUUUUGCAGUGCUGAGGAUGGAAUCCUGGGUCUUAUGCAUGCCAGGCAAGUGCCUUCCUACUGAGCUACACCCCCAGCCCCUGGUCUUCAGUUUCCUUGUUUGAAAAUGAGCAGACUGGACUCAGUGACCUCAACAGUCUUCUUCCAGUUCCAUGCUUCUUCAGUCAUGCUCCUUGGGAAUAGGACUGUAUCGCUGGUGAGAGUGUGGACUGCUGCAGCCACUUUGGAGAACAACCUGGCACUAUGUAUUUAAUCUAAGGACACAGAAAGGAAUGUUUGCUUUUUUUUUUUUUUUGACAUAGUGAUGAGGACCUGUAUCGACUGUGUUCAUCACUGGAUGCUUGUUUGAGUGAGUGGCAGGAUGUGGUGGAUGCACACUCUUUGCUACUAUCUAGCACUUGCAAUAGCAGAUUACAUAUACUUGCAGCCUAUAGAUACAUUUUAAGACCGUAAAUGUCUAGUAAAAGAAGAAAGGAAUAUAUGACACUCUACCAUUUAAUUAAAAAUAGAUGCACCUUUCAUAAUAACACAUCCCAACAAAAAUAUCAUUAAACACGAGUGUGUAUAGUAGGAGUUAAAUAGAAUGGGAGAGAAUAUAAAGAUGAAAAGGGAAUAACCAAGAGGCGAGGUUUGUAUGGACAAAAAAUGAUAAUGUCAUUUAGUAAAAUGCCUUUAAAGUUUAUCCAUGCUGUUGCCUGUAUCAGAAUGGCCUUUCUUUUUAAGGCUGAAUAAGGUUCCAUUAUAUGUACAAGCCACAUUUUGUGUAUCCGUUUGUGUGUUUCUGGCUACUUGAGUUGUUCCCAUUUUGGGGGGUAUUGUGGAUCAUGCUGCUGUGAGCAUUGGUGUGCAAACCAGCUGUUUUUGUGUUUCAUUGUUGUAUUCCUUAUUGCAUUGCAUGAUUUUCAGGAGGUUCAGCAUGUAUUUUUACGCUGCUGUGAUCAUUUCAGUAAGUUCUUUUGAAGCUGCAUUUUAAAAUAAUUAGAUGAUUCUCAUAAUCCAGUAAGUCUAGAAAUCACUUCCUAGAUUGGGGGCAGGAGAAUCAUUGAUGACAGGAAGAAGUGUCGUGCUUAUAAGCAGGUUAGGUACAUAAACGCCAGUUCUGUGAGCCCUCAUCUGUCAGAGCUGCUCCUGUGAACCACUGUGCAGGCAGACGGAGGAUGAAAGCCAUAGGCUAAGAUUGUCUAAUUCCCUUUCCAGGCCAACCGUAUCUUAGGACAAUCCCUCUUGGGCUCUGCUGUCAAGAAUGACAAGCUUGGCUUAGCACUUCUGUGCACCUGCUGAUGCACAAGUGAGGGAAACUCAUUCCAUGUCAGAGUAGCUAUUGGUUCUGGGUAACAUUGUAACUAAUGUAAAAACUUCCAAGAGUCAUCAGUUAGUCCAAACUCAUUUCUGGUGAAUGUUUUAGAUUUGUAUCAAGGGAAUAAUGUGAGAACUCCAAGGAAUAAGUUUGAUGACAUAAGCAAACCAGAGUCCUGGGAAUAUCUUUCAGGCAAUUUGCUAGUGAACUGCUGCUUAAUCGCCUUAAAACAAUGGUAUAGUGAGUCAGGGAAAAGCAGCACAAGAUUUUAUGAUGAGAGAUAUUCCCAGGUGGCUUUAUGGAGGGAGGAAAAAAAUGUACAGACAGUUGAUGAUGCAUUUUUAUUCAUUCAGUAACAUUUAUUGAGCUGCUAUUAUGUUCUAGACAGUGUAUAAAGCAGAGGAAAAGACAGAUGUGUCCCUGAGGUGUGAGCUUUCAUUCUGGUGUCGGAAACAGAUAAUAAAGAAGUAGACAAAUAUAGAUGUAUUUUCAGAGAGCAGAUUACAAAGCACCAGCUAGACCUGUUUAAACACUGUUGCCUCUCCAUACCUAUAGUUUCUGCAACCAUGGGUUCAGCCAAUUUGGAAUUGAAAAUAUUGGGAGAAAAAAAUUGCAUUAGUAUGGCACACAUACAGAAUUUUAAAAUUUUCAUUGUUCCUUAAACAAAACUCUAUAAUGGCUAUUUAUACAGCAUUUGCAAAAUGCUGAAUAUCAUAAAAAGUUUGGUGUUGAUUUAAAGUAUAUGGGAGGAUAUGCGUGGGUUAUAUGGGAAGAUGGCACCAUUUUAUAUAAGGGACUUGACCAUCUGCAGAUUGUGGUAUUCUUUGGGGGGGGGUGUCCUGGAACCAAUCCCCCAAGGGUAGCAAGAGAUGACAGUACUUAUUGGUGAUUGUUUAAAUUCUAUGUAAGAUUUUUGUAGAUUGUUAGGGUUAAUGGUUUAUUUCAGCUAUGCUCUUAUCUAUAAAAAUAUAAUUUACAAGCAAAUCUUCCUGGAAUUCAAUUACUUUGCAAAGUAAUGUCCACCUCUUUCCUAAAAACUGAGAUAUGCGAGUACGCAUGGGGAAGGAGAACUGAUGGUACAGUUGACGAUAUAGUUAAGUGUAAACUGAUGAGCAGAAGUCCUCCGGGCCAGGCCUGUUCAUGUGAGAGCAAACUAUUCCAUGGGCUUGUGGUCUGGAAGCUUGGGAGAUUUUGUAUCCCCACACAGGUUUCAGACUUCACCCACAAUUUCUUAAAUUGGCUUACCCACUUGUUCACUUUCUUUAGUGUUUCAUCCCUCAGAAGGGAGUGGGAGGUGAGAACACGAGGAGGGUGUGGUGUGCUUCCAGUGGGCUGCUGGUGCAUCAAGAUGGUGUGCUGGAACCAUCGGGCGGUGCUUGCAUCUGACAGGGAAGCCAGGAGUUGAUUUUAUUUAUUGUUCGGGAAAAUGUACUAAGGAAGAUUCCUGGAAGUGAGAGGUCCUUCAUUAUCUGCCCCAUUCAGUGGAAACCACGGGGCUGUUCUGGGAUCGACAGCCCCCUCCAGGUGUGAAACAUGGCUCCUUCUGGCUGUGUUCCUUUCAUUGGGUGAUUCUGAUGACAAGAUAUGGGAAGGUUUUAUUCCCUAAAUAUUCACUAAAAGAAGGAUCAACCCCAGAAAAGACAGUGCUGCCUAGAAUUUUUAAAAAGGAUUCAGCUUUACAGAGGAAAAGCAUAGAAAAUUGAAUAGUAGAAAUCAAAGAGUGUUGGUGGAAAUGAACUCACUCGUUCAGGCCAGAUAUCAUCCAGUAUGAACUAUCCAUUCUCAGAUGAUAUUUCUCCUAAAUGAUGUAUAAACUUAAAUGGAUUCUUCUUUUGACCAUAUCAAUGGAAAAUUUUAAAAGUAAGUGUGUGUGUGUGUGUGUGUGUGGCUUGCAAGCUUAUACAUUAUUAUUAUUAUUUUUUUUGGCAGUGCUGGGAAUUGAACCCAGGGCCUUGCACAUGCUAGGCUAGGCAAGUGCUUUACCACUGAGCCACACCCCCAAUUCCCUUACUCCCUUUUAAAAAAACUUUUUAUCAUUCAAACAUUAAUUUAUUUGAAGGGGCAUGAAGAAACAUUUACAAAAUGGGAACUUAGAUCCAAAAUUUACACAAUUUAAAAAAUUAACUAGUUUUUUAUGAUAGACAAAAAGGAUUGCAUUACCCUAUAAAAUAAUUCAUAAAUAACCCAUGCUAAUUUCCUCAAGUCGAGACCCCUAAGCACACAUGCAAAAACCCCUUUGCUAUAUAAUGUGAUACAGAGGUUCCUUAAUUUACAUUGGCAUUACAUCCAAAUGAACCCAUUAUGUUGAAGACAUCUUAAAUNUUUUUUUUGACAUAGUGAUGAGGACCUGUAUCGACUGUGUUCAUCACUGGAUGCUUGUUUGAGUGAGUGGCAGGAUGUGGUGGAUGCACACUCUUUGCUACUAUCUAGCACUUGCAAUAGCAGAUUACAUAUACUUGCAGCCUAUAGAUACAUUUUAAGACCGUAAAUGUCUAGUAAAAGAAGAAAGGAAUAUAUGACACUCUACCAUUUAAUUAAAAAUAGAUGCACCUUUCAUAAUAACACAUCCCAACAAAAAUAUCAUUAAACACGAGUGUGUAUAGUAGGAGUUAAAUAGAAUGGGAGAGAAUAUAAAGAUGAAAAGGGAAUAACCAAGAGGCGAGGUUUGUAUGGACAAAAAAUGAUAAUGUCAUUUAGUAAAAUGCCUUUAAAGUUUAUCCAUGCUGUUGCCUGUAUCAGAAUGGCCUUUCUUUUUAAGGCUGAAUAAGGUUCCAUUAUAUGUACAAGCCACAUUUUGUGUAUCCGUUUGUGUGUUUCUGGCUACUUGAGUUGUUCCCAUUUUGGGGGGUAUUGUGGAUCAUGCUGCUGUGAGCAUUGGUGUGCAAACCAGCUGUUUUUGUGUUUCAUUGUUGUAUUCCUUAUUGCAUUGCAUGAUUUUCAGGAGGUUCAGCAUGUAUUUUUACGCUGCUGUGAUCAUUUCAGUAAGUUCUUUUGAAGCUGCAUUUUAAAAUAAUUAGAUGAUUCUCAUAAUCCAGUAAGUCUAGAAAUCACUUCCUAGAUUGGGGGCAGGAGAAUCAUUGAUGACAGGAAGAAGUGUCGUGCUUAUAAGCAGGUUAGGUACAUAAACGCCAGUUCUGUGAGCCCUCAUCUGUCAGAGCUGCUCCUGUGAACCACUGUGCAGGCAGACGGAGGAUGAAAGCCAUAGGCUAAGAUUGUCUAAUUCCCUUUCCAGGCCAACCGUAUCUUAGGACAAUCCCUCUUGGGCUCUGCUGUCAAGAAUGACAAGCUUGGCUUAGCACUUCUGUGCACCUGCUGAUGCACAAGUGAGGGAAACUCAUUCCAUGUCAGAGUAGCUAUUGGUUCUGGGUAACAUUGUAACUAACGUAAAAACUUCCAAGAGUCAUCAGUUAGUCCAAACUCAUUUCUGGUGAAUGUUUUAGAUUUGUAUCAAGGGAAUAAUGUGAGAACUCCAAGGAAUAAGUUUGAUGACAUAAGCAAACCAGAGUCCUGGGAAUAUCUUUCAGGCAAUUUGCUAGUGAACUGCUGCUUAAUCGCCUUAAAACAAUGGUAUAGUGAGUCAGGGAAAAGCAGCACAAGAUUUUAUGAUGAGAGAUAUUCCCAGGUGGCUUUAUGGAGGGAGGAAAAAAAUGUACAGACAGUUGAUGAUGCAUUUUUAUUCAUUCACUAACAUUUAUUGAGCUGCUAUUAUGUUCUAGACAGUGUAUAAAGCAGAGGAAAAGACAGAUGUGUCCCUGAGGUGUGAGCUUUCAUUCUGGUGUCGGAAACAGAUAAUAAAGAAGUAGACAAAUAUAGAUGUAUUUUCAGAGAGCAGAUUACAAAGCACCAGCUAGACCUGUUUAAACACUGUUGCCUCUCCAUACCUAUAGUUUCUGCAACCAUGGGUUCAGCCAAUUUGGAAUUGAAAAUAUUGGGAGAAAAAAAUUGCAUUAGUAUGGCACACAUACAGAAUUUUAAAAUUUUCAUUGUUCCUUAAACAAAACUCUAUAAUGGCUAUUUAUACAGCAUUUGCAAAAUGCUGAAUAUCAUAAAAAGUUUGGUGUUGAUUUAAAGUAUAUGGGAGGAUAUGCGUGGGUUAUAUGGGAAGAUGGCACCAUUUUAUAUAAGGGACUUGACCAUCUGCAGAUUGUGGUAUUCUUUGGGGGGGGGGGUGUCCUGGAACCAAUCCCCCAAGGGUAGCAAGAGAUGACAGUACUUAUUGGUGAUUGUUUAAAUUCUAUGUAAGAUUUUUGUAGAUUGUUAGGGUUAAUGGUUUAUUUCAGCUAUGCUCUUAUCUAUAAAAAUAUAAUUUACAAGCAAAUCUUCCUGGAAUUCAAUUACUUUGCAAAGUAAUGUCCACCUCUUUCCUAAAAACUGAGAUAUGCGAGUACGCAUGGGGAAGGAGAACUGAUGGUACAGUUGACGAUAUAGUUAAGUGUAAACUGAUGAGCAGAAGUCCUCCGGGCCAGGCCUGUUCAUGUGAGAGCAAACUAUUCCAUGGGCUUGUGGUCUGGAAGCUUGGGAGAUUUUGUAUCCCCACACAGGUUUCAGACUUCACCCACAAUUUCUUAAAUUGGCUUACCCACUUGUUCACUUUCUUUAGUGUUUCAUCCCUCAGAAGGGAGUGGGAGGUGAGAACACGAGGAGGGUGUGGUGUGCUUCCAGUGGGCUGCUGGUGCAUCAAGAUGGUGUGCUGGAACCAUCGGGCGGUGCUUGCAUCUGACAGGGAAGCCAGGAGUUGAUUUUAUUUAUUGUUCGGGAAAAUGUACUAAGGAAGAUUCCUGGAAGUGAGAGGUCCUUCAUUAUCUGCCCCAUUCAGUGGAAACCACGGGGCUGUUCUGGGAUCGACAGCCCCCUCCAGGUGUGAAACAUGGCUCCUUCUGGCUGUGUUCCUUUCAUUGGGUGAUUCUGAUGACAAGAUAUGGGAAGGUUUUAUUCCCUAAAUAUUCACUAAAAGAAGGAUCAACCCCAGAAAAGACAGUGCUGCCUAGAAUUUUUAAAAAGGAUUCAGCUUUACAGAGGAAAAGCAUAGAAAAUUGAAUAGUAGAAAUCAAAGAGUGUUGGUGGAAAUGAACUCACUCGUUCAGGCCAGAUAUCAUCCAGUAUGAACUAUCCAUUCUCAGAUGAUAUUUCUCCUAAAUGAUGUAUAAACUUAAAUGGAUUCUUCUUUUGACCAUAUCAAUGGAAAAUUUUAAAAGUAAGUGUGUGUGUGUGUGUGUGUGUGGCUUGCAAGCUUAUACAUUAUUAUUAUUAUUUUUUUUGGCAGUGCUGGGAAUUGAACCCAGGGCCUUGCACAUGCUAGGCUAGGCAAGUGCUUUACCACUGAGCCACACCCCCAAUUCCCUUACUCCCUUUUAAAAAAACUUUUUAUCAUUCAAACAUUAAUUUAUUUGAAGGGGCAUGAAGAAACAUUUACAAAAUGGGAACUUAGAUCCAAAAUUUACACAAUUUAAAAAAUUAACUAGUUUUUUAUGAUAGACAAAAAGGAUUGCAUUACCCUAUAAAAUAAUUCAUAAAUAACCCAUGCUAAUUUCCUCAAGUCGAGACCCCUAAGCACACAUGCAAAAACCCCUUUGCUAUAUAAUGUGAUACAGAGGUUCCUUAAUUUACAUUGGCAUUACAUCCAAAUGAACCCAUUAUGUUGAAGACAUCUUAAAUCAAAAGUGAGUUUAGGGGGCUGGGGUUGCAGCUCAGUGGUAGAGUGCUUGCCUAUCACAUGUAAGGUACUGAGUUCAAUCCUCAUCACCACAUUUUUUUAAAAAAAAGUGAGUUUAGGCCGGACAUGGUGGUGCACACCUGUAAUCCCAGUGGCUGGGGAGGCUGAGAAGGAGGAUGGUGAAUUCAAAGCCAGCCUUAGCAAAAGCAAGGCACUAAGCAACCCAGUGAGACCCUGUCUCUAAAUAAAAUACAAAAUAGGGCUGGGGAUGUGGCUCAGUGGGUGAGUGCGCCUGAGUUCCAUCCCCAGUACCCCCCCAAAAAGUGAGUUAGGGGCUGAGGAUGUGGCUCAGUGGUUGAGUGCAAGCCUAGUAUGAGCAAGGCUCCAGGGGUUCAAUCCCAGCGCCAUGCAUACAAAAAGUGCAUUUAACAAACUCUAUCCUCCUAGGCACCGCAGCUUAGCCCAGUCUGUCAGGUGGGCCCCAAAUGGAAUCACAGAUGUGUUUGUAAAGGAAGAUUUGACAGUAGAGAAGGCAGCGAUGUGAGGAGUGAAGCAAGAGGCUGCAGUUUUGGCUUUGGAGGCAAAGAAAGGGACCCCAAGCCAGAAACUCAGGGGAGGAGGGAGACAGGGCCACAGAUUGACGGAUUGUCCCCUGGAGCCUCAGAGGGAGCUGUACCCCGGCCUUGAUUUCAUACCAGUGAAACUGACUCAGGCUUUCUGGUCUCCGUAAGAGAGUCAGUCUGUGUUGUUUUAAGCCACAGUUUGUGGUCAUUUGUUCUAGCAGCUGUAACAGGUGUUCACUUGAUGCUUCAACUACAUCCCUCGUCGCUUUGGAACUCACAUGUUUUUUUCUUUUUCCAACCUUCUUUUCCCUGGCCUUCUCCUCCAUGAUCUCUUCUUCCCUGAUUUUCUUUUCCCUGAUCUUCUCCUUCCUAAUCUCGUUAUUAUAAAUUAUAAAUAAGAGCAAAACAUGUAACAGUCGUCGAAUGCUGUCAGGUACAUCGUCGUCUGUUUAUAUAAUAAAAUCCCAAUGAGGCUGGGGAUGCAGCUCAGUGCCUUGCAUACUUCAGGCCCCGGGUUCAACCCCCCGCACUGCUAAAGGGGAAAAAAAAGAGGUGUGUGUGGAAAGAAGUGCACAUGGAUUCUGUGUCCCUGCUGGACUGCAGCAGUGAGCCUGAAAGUGCGUGUUUAAAAAAGAGCCCGUUCUCAUUCACCUGCUCGUGUGCCUGCUCAUGAAGGCUGUCUUUCUUUUCCAUUGUGGAGAAAGCUGCUGCCAGCUUACAGUAUUUAAAUCUCUCAAUGAAAUUUAAAAAGUUGAAAGGAGGGGAAAAACAUCCUUGUUUAUAUAGGUCAGAAUCUAACUAUUAAUCAUACAGAGAGUUCAGAAUGAAGCUUAAGAUUUUCAGUUUCGACCUUGCUUUUAAAAUGUGAUUUAAAAUCAGAUGGUUCACAACAUUUUUCCUUCUCAUUUAUUGCUAAGCGUUGUCAGGUACUGAACCGAUCGAAAUUCACUUUUACUUUCUGAUCACAUGAAGUGGUUUCAGGGUGAUGUUUUUAAGUUUUUAAGUCUUUCUGUUCUCUUAGCACAUUGCUUGUGCUGUGUGGCCAUGUUUUCUUUUUUACACCUUGUUUUAUAGUUACCCAAGACUAUUAAUAUUGAGAUACGCAGUAGAUUCUCUUUACCUAAGAAUUUGCCACUAAAGCUUACUAUGAUGAAAGUGAAAAAUCUGUGAAUUAGAGGCUUCUCUAAUGUAUUAUUUAGGAUACCUUCUCCUGAAAUAGUCGAAAAAACUUUUAAGAACAGGGACCAUCUUAAAAAGAGUUACUGUUGGGAGGCAAAGUCUAUUUCAUUAAGAGAAACAUUGGAGGAUGUUUCUCUUAAUGAAAUAGACAGGAGUACAGUGAGCCUAGAAAUCUCAGAGCAUUGAAGAGAUUAUCAGUGAAUUAAGUAACCUGGUAGUAUCCAUGAGCCUGAAAUGUGUACACUGUGCUUGUCUCCACAGUCUUAACUACUUCCCCCAUCUUCUUCCUCCUCUUCAUCUUCUCAACUCCAGAAAGUUGAAGGAACUUAGUCAUUCUUUCAACACAUUCUUCUGGAGUGCCUAUGUGCCACAUACUCCUUGGUUUUCAAAACGUAAAACAGUCAACAAAACCUAUGAUAUUCUCUUUUUUGAGGAACCUGCUGAGUGCCUUUAGUCAAAAUCUCCAGGAUAACCUCACUAACACUGGAGCAAACCAGGAUCAUCUACCUCUCCACAUGACACAUGGAGGACAUACCACUUCUGCAGUGUCCUGCCAAGACUGCGUGAUCUGAGUCCAAUUACAAGGGAUGAUCAGACAAACCCAAAUCUAUGGGCAGCUACAGAACUCAAGGUGGAAGAAAACAAAAAAAGAUUGAGGGCCUAUUCCAGAUUAAAGGAGGUUAAAGAUUCCUACUACUGAAACACAGCACAUGAUCCAGGAUUGGGUCCUGAUUAGGAAAAAAAAAAAGCCAUAAAAGACACAUUAGGUGAUAUUUGAUAUGGAUUAUUAAAUAGAUGUUAGUAUACAUAAGCAUUGUAUUUCCAGAUUCGGAUAGUUACAUGUUAUACUUAUAUACGUACAUAAUGUAUAUAAUACAUAUAAUAAAUAUACGAUAUAUAGAGAGAACAUAUGUAUACAGAUAGAGAGACAGAUACACAUGAAACAUGGAGGAAGAAAGAAGAAAGAGGGAGAGAUUUAAAUCACAUGGGACCAAAGGUACAAUAAAAACAACUGAUGAAUAUAGACAAAGAAUAUGUAGCAAUUCCUUGAUCUAGUCUUGUAAAUUUUCUGUAAGUUUAAAUUAUAUAAAAAUAAAAUGUUAAAAAAAAAUUUCCUACUCUAGGGGAACUCAACUCUGUGUUUGGGUGGGUGAGUGGGGUGAGGUAGUGUAUCAGACCAGAUAGUAACAAAAUAAGCCAGUAAAAAACAUGUUAGAUGGUAAAUGCUACAUAAGUCAAGUAGCACAGGGACACAGGGAAAAUUUGUGUAGAGAGUGGGCAGUUUUUUUAAAAUCAAAAAAACUUAAAAAAAAUAAAAUAAAAUCAACCGAGUUUUUUAGAGAAGUUUAACUUCUAAAUAGGAAGUACAGAGUUCUGGUAGUUUGCUGGGAGCCAUUAGCCAAGUAGGUAUGACAAUUUCCUUGCCAGCGUACCCCAUGUUGCUUAGUGGAAGGACUCAUGGAAAUAGGACAUUUUGCAGUGACAUUGCAUCUAAGGUGACCUUGCUCAAGGACCAGGGCGGAUCCGGGGGUUUAGGGUGUUCCCGGUUUAGGAUAAUCCGGGUUUAGGGUGGUUCCAGGUUUAAGGUUAUUCCUGCUGGGAAUAGGGCGUAUCCUGCUGCCUGAGUUCCCCUUGAGUUCUCACGGGAUUCAGACAGUAUUUUUUGGGAGACAGAAGCCCAGUGGGGGUGGAUUUGGGCAGAGAACAUGGAUUUCCCCAGAACGUGAUUGUAGACGGCUGGUGUGAGUUCGGGAAUAAAGAGUUGCUGUUUGAAUCUACAAGCUGUGUGGUGGCUCAUGAUUUUGUGCCCAGCCAGACUGCGGCAGUAGUUCUCUCCCCCAAACACCAUGUCCAUAUUAUUAAUAUCUAGAAUUAGUGGGAUCAUUUGUUGGAAUUGGUGAAUAAAUGAUGAUACAUAAUUAUUAACUAAAGCCUCCAUUUGCAUUUGGCUUCACUCUCCUGUUGUACAGUUCUAUGGAUUUGGCCGUAUGCAUGAUGUUAAUUAUCCACUAUUGUAAUAUCCUAUGAAUAGUCUCACUGCUUUGAAACCCCUUUCUCUACCUAGUCACCUCUCCCUUCCUUUUAACCAUUGAUCACCAUCAAUCUCUCUCUCUCUCUUUUUUUUCUAUUUCUCUACUUUUGCCUUUUCUAGAGUGUCAUACAGCUGGAUCAUUCAGCAUGUAGCCUGUCAGACUGGUUUCCUUAAUUUGGAAAUAUGCAUUAAAGUUUCCUCCAUGGCAUUUUAUGGCUUGAUAGUUUGUUCCUUUUGAUCACUGAAUACUACCGUAUUAUACAAACGGACCUCAGUUUGUUUAUCCGCUUACCUAUUGAGAGACAUCGUGGUUGCUUCCAAGUUUUUGGCAGUUAUGAAUAAAGUCGCUGUAAACGUUCAUAUGUAGGUUUUAGUGUAGACAUAAGUCUUCAACUCAUUUGUGUGAAUAACCAGCAGCCAUUGCUGGGUCAUAUGGUCUCUGUGUGUUUAGUUUUGGAGUUACCUGCCAAACUGUCUUCCAAAGGGGCAGAGCCAUUUUGCACUUCUCCCAGCAAUAAACGAAAGUUCCUCUUGUCCUGUGUCCUUUGCAGCAUUUGGUGUGGUCAAGAAAAUGGAAAUUAAUUUGAUUUUUAUUUUAGCCAUUCUGAGGGCAUAUAGUGGGGUCUCAUUUUAAUUGCAAUGCCCUGAUGACAUUCCACAUCUUCACACAUAUUCACCAUCUGUACUUCUUUGGCAUGAUGUGCAUUGAGAUCUUUUUCUCAUCUUGUUCAGAUGUUUUGCUACUUGAGGAUUAUAAUUUUAAGCAGUACACAGGGAAGGUCUUAUUAAAGCUUUUGAAUAAAGAUCUGAGAGAAGUAAGGGAACAUGCUAUUUGGAACUCUAGGGAAAGAACAUUCCAGACAGAAGGGAAGACACCUGCAAACACCCCUGAUCAAGAGUGUGCUCGGUGUGUUCCAGGAUAGUAGGUGGGCACCGUGCCAUGAGGAGGUGGCAGGGGAGAGCGUAGGGAGAGGAGGCUAGAGAGGCAUGGAGGGAGGAUUGUCCCACUCACAUGACCUUGUGGACCCUCAGGCCUUGGCUUUCAUUGGAUGAGGCAGGAAGUCAGAGGAUCUUAAGCAGAACUGGAUGCAAUCUGACGUAGGUUUCAUAGGAUCAUCCUGGUUGCUGCGUUGACAGUGGACCAAAGGUGAGCAGGUGAAAAGGCAAAGACUGGAAUACCAGGCCAGCAGUAACAGUGACAAAGCCCAGAGUGGUCCCGAGAGGAAAGAGUAGAAAUGACUGGAUACAGAUCUUGUAUAAGAGGGAUUUGCUAAUGGAUUCAGUGUGGGGUGUGAUAGACCACAAAGAAAUCAAAGAUAGUUCACAGUUCCCCCCCUAAGCAAUUGAAAGAAUCACACGAUCACAUUCUGUUAUCACAGAUGGGUACAGGGUCCUCUUCCCCCUUUCUCUUCAUUCCUGAUCCCAGUUCUCCUUUCUUCUGUCUCCCUCUUUGGCAUCUACCUGAAUCCUUGAGAACUACUGCUUAGGGUAUUUUAUUUUUAAAAUAUAUAUAUUUGGUUAUAGAUGGACACAAUACCUUUAUUUUGCUUAUUUGGUUUUUUUAUGUGGUGCUAGGGAUUGAACCCAGUGCUUCACAUGUGCUAGGCAAGUGCUCUACCCUGAGCUACAACCCCACCCAACUUAGUUUACAUUGGUACUGUGCUAUACAUUUUGUUUCAUAUAUAUAUAUGUAUAUAUAUAUAUUUCCUUUUGACAUUAAGUCUUCAAGAACUAACCAUAUAGCUGGAUGUUGUAGGUUCAUUAAUUUUGACUGUUGCCUGAUUUUCCACCAAAUUCAUCUGUCACAUGCGACAAAGUUAUAUCCUUGAUCAUGAGCCCCUAAGCUGCUUCCAACUCCCUGCUACUGCAAACAAUGCUUAAGCACACACCCUCAUUCGUAUUCCUGUAAUGACUUGCAUGCAAGCUUCUCUAGGGUUCAUUCCUAGGAGUGAGUGGGAUUGCUGGGACAUAUUUAGUUGUGUAAAUAUAGCCGUCCCUUGUUAUCUGUGGGAAGCUGGUUCCAAGACCCUCUGUGGAUACCAAAGUCCACAGAUGCUCAUGUCCCUGAGAUAAAUGUCACAGUAUUUGCAUGUCACCUACACAUCCUCCCAUAUAUUCUAAAUGAUCUCCGGAUUACUUACAACACCUAAUAUAAUGUAAAUGCUAUAUAAAUGUUGUUAAGUGUGUGCAUAUAUAGACCUACACAUGUACGUGUAUAUGUUGUUUAGGGGAUAAUGACGGUAACAAAAAGCCUGUAAGAUGAUUCUUUUAAAAUAUUUUUGGGUCGUCGUUGGGCCAGCCAUGGAUGUGGAGUCCGCGUGAAGGGGGCUGGCCAUGGGGGUUUGCUGUCCUGGGGGCUUCCUCACCUCAGUUUUAGAUGAGCAGUAUUUGAGAGCACCUUUUCCCCAAGAUCCCUACCAAUUCUUUUUUUGUAUCUUUUUCUUUUUUGUACUGAGAAUUGAACCCAGGGGUACUUAGCAGCUGAGCCAUACCCCAAGCCCUUUUUUAUAUUUUAUUUAGAGACAGGGUCUUUCAGAGUUGCUUAUGGCCUUGCUAAGUUGCUGAGGCUGGUUUUGAACUAGCAAUCCUCCUGCCUCAGCCUCCCAAGCAGCUGGGAUUACAGGUGUGCACCACUGUGCCUGGCCCCUACCAGUUCUUUUUUUUUAAAUUUUUUUUUUUUGUAGUUGUAGUUGGACAGCAUACCUUUAUAUUAUUUGCUUAUUUUUUGUAUGUGGUGCUUAGGAUUUAACCCAGUGCCUCACAUGGGCUAGGCAAGUGCUUGGCUACUGAGCCACAACCCCAGGCCCUUACCAAUUCUUGAUAUUGUUGAACCUUCAGAUGUUUGUGAAGUGGUAUUUCACUGUCACUUUAACUUAUGCUUUUUGAUUACUGGGGAGCUUAAGCAUUUUUCCUUAGAUUAGAGAGACAUUCAGAUUCUUCUAUGAUUGGUCAUUUCAUCCUUCCUUUAGUUUUCUGUUAAUUUAUCGCCUUUCACUUAUUGAUAUAAAGAAAUUGUCUGUAUUUUCUGUGGAAUAAUUCCGGAGCUUUGGAGGUGAUAAAUAUCUUCUCUCAGCUGUCACCUGUCUGCCAUCCGCGGCAUCCUCCUUGGCCAGUCCUGUGCCCGGUGUCUAAAGCCACAGUCCUCCCCGCCAUGGUGUGCUCUUCAGACAGUCCGCACUGCUCCUGUAUUCCAUGGCCACAAAGCGUGCUCCCAGGCUUCCUUGUCCCCAGAUUCCCUUGUCCCUCCCUUACAGAUUGAAGUAGGCGAUCCACCAAGGUUUGCAGUUUAUGAGCCGAAGCAGGGUUUUCUCCAGGCACCAGUUUUCCUAAACAUUCACUGGAUAAUGUGUCCUUUCUUCAUCGGCAAGGUGCCACCUCCAUUGGGUAUGAGUUUCCACAUGCUUGUGGCUCGGCUUUGGGACUCCCUGUUUUGCACCAUUAACCUGUUUGUAGCUGGUCCAGUAUUUGAUUAUUUUCUUUGCUGUGGAUUUGUGGUUUAUCUUAAUAUCUACAGGAAAGUCUUCCAUUUAUCCUUCUUUGUCAUCAAUAUCAUCUUAUCUAUCUGUGUCUUUAUCACAGUUCCCUCAAAAGAUGUGCUAGAAUUUUGGCUGAAAAUGUAUGAUAAAUAUGUUAUUUUUAGAGGAACCUAUAGAUUUUUACUGUUAAGCAGUUUCACAUGAACAUGGUAUGUCCAUCUUUUCUGGCUUUCUUUUAUGUCUUGAAUAGGGUCUUUAAUAGGUCAGACUAUAUUUAGGAUCCUUGAGUAUGGAAAUUAUUAGAGAUGUGCAUAAAGUUGUAUUUACAAAUGUGAAUUGAAUAUUUGGAAACUGUCUACAUGUGCAAUAAUAGAAGAAUGUUUAAGUGUGGAAAGUAGACAGAGGUGUGUAUUAAUAGAAAGUCACAUUAAAAUCAUGCCUUCAUUGAUUCUUUGGUACAUGAGAAAAUAUUGUUGCUAUACCGUUAUAUCAUUAGUCAGUGAGAUUACAAGGGUUUAAAGUCUUUAUUAAAAUAUUAUAAUUUUGGAGUAUGUCCCAAAUUUUCUGAAGUGAACAUACUCUAUUUUUAUGAUUCUUUUUUCUUUACAGAAGUUGUUGGGAGUAAGUAAGUUUUGUUUGUUUGUUUUUAUACAUUCUCAAUUCAUUCUGACUUGUAUUUAGGAAAGCAACUUUGUUAAGUUCAUUUUCACUCUAGUAAUUUUUGGUCAGUUCACACGUGUUUUCCAGGUAUUGCCAUUUCAUUUUGCAGAAAUUUUUUUUUAAUUAUUUAUUUUUGCUUCCACCAUUAUAUUUAUAUAUCUCAUUCCUUUUGAGACUGCAACAAGCAUUUCCAUCAUCAGGACAGUAAGGAGAGAGGGAGGUCCAAGUGAAAGGAUAUCUUUGUAGAAAAAGUAGACUCUUGGGGGCAAGUAAGUUUGUGUUUGCUCUCUGUCUCUGUACAGGAGCAUUGGGAGAACAGAAUCUGAAUCGUCUAAUGAACUCCUCAAGGAAUGCAUGAAGACUCACAUGCAUAUCCCCUGGCUGACUAGCAACGCUUCCAUCUGCUGGACUCCUCACAGUCAUGUGGGCCCCGGGAUUCAACUAAGCAUGAGUAAAGGUAAUUUCACAGUUUGCGUUUUCAUGGAACAGAUAUUUGAAAAUCUGCUUCUAUGUUCAGAGCACUGUAUGUUCUAGAGGCAUCAAAGAUAAAGGGAUGAAGAAAACUGCCUCAGCCUGCGGGGGCUUAAUAGGACACAGAGCAGGACUUGGCCUUACCCCCACCUGGCCGACUCUCAAUAUUUCUGAACUCCGCCAUCCCAGAAUUUACUCUCAGUUUUCUCAUGCUGUUCCCUCACUUGGAAUUCCUUUUCCUCCUUAUCCACACGCUGCGUAUUCCUCACAGGUAUAUGUGACAUCUCUGGUUCUCUGACUUCCUCUGACAUUUCACCAGUACUUUAAAUGUAGCUCAGACUUGGCACAUUCUUAGUGCUACUUUGUAUUUUCAGUCGUUUUUCCCAAAAGCAAAGUAGCAUGAUUACUAUCUGCAUUAGCUCCUGCAUUUCUGAUCUUAAAGGACAGGAAAAAUGGAUAUUUAAUGUUGAGAGCCACAGUUUAGUCAGAUGACACCUGGCAUUUUUGCCAGAGGGAAUGGUUGAAAGAUGACCCU
RNAcentral lists this long non-coding RNA (28938 nucleotides) under Marmota monax (woodchuck). The record is from RNAcentral. Lineage: Eukaryota; Metazoa; Chordata; Mammalia; Rodentia; Sciuridae.